UUCGCAAUGCCCGAAAGGGUGACGAAGCGACGCCGCGUGGGUGAAGAAGGCCUUCGGGUUGUAAAGCCCUGUCAGGAGUUAUGAAAUGUAGGUGCGAUAAUACCGUGCCUAUUUGACAAAGGCUCCAAAGGAAGCCACGGCUAACUCUGUGCCAGCAGCCGCGGUAAUACAGAGGUGGCAAGCGUUGUUCGGAAUUAUUGGGCGUAAAGAGCACGUAGGUGGGUUUGUAAGUCAGAUGUGAAAGCCUUCUGUCCAACGGAAGAAUUGCAUCUGAAACUGCGAGUCUUGAGUGUAGGAGGGGAGAAUGGAACUUCUGGUGGAGCGGUGAAAUGCGUAGAUAUCAGAAGGAACGCCGGCGGCGAAAGCGAUUCUCUGGCCUAUUACUGACACUGAGUGUGCGAAAGCUAGGGGAGCAAACGGGAUUAGAUACCCCGGUAGUCCUAGCCGUAAACGAUGGGCACUAAGUAGAGGGGUUUU
RNAcentral lists this ribosomal RNA (477 nucleotides) under Candidatus Scalindua marina (nom. nud.). RNAcentral describes it as "bacterial SSU rRNA". It matches the Rfam family "Bacterial small subunit ribosomal RNA", at positions 365 to 832 of the family's 1533-position model. Lineage: Bacteria; Pseudomonadati; Planctomycetota; Candidatus Brocadiia; Candidatus Brocadiales; Candidatus Scalinduaceae. The record is from RNAcentral.